This 400-nucleotide transfer-messenger RNA is filed under the name Muribaculaceae bacterium. It matches the Rfam family "transfer-messenger RNA". From Rfam's summary of the family: Bacterial tmRNA, also known as 10Sa RNA or SsrA, is named for its dual tRNA and mRNA-like properties. The record is from RNAcentral. Lineage: Bacteria; Pseudomonadati; Bacteroidota; Bacteroidia; Bacteroidales; Muribaculaceae.
GGGGCUGACUGGUUUUGACAGCGUGAAGAAGCGGUGAAGUAAGCAUGCAGAGCAAUGAUGGCCACACUCUUUAAACAGAGACAUCAGCAAGUUAAUUGGCGAAAACAACUACGCUCUUGCUGCCUGAUCGAAGAACAGUAGAUCACGCUUAAUCGCCGCAACAGUUGCAGCGACAAGACAUUGCCCGAUUGUCCUUUUUCCGAGACGGAUCGACCCGGCAGUGCAGGUAAAUCGGAAAUAGGCUUGACCGGCCUCGCGGCCGAGCCGAAACAAUAGAGGAUAAGGAUACGGUUGGUCGUCUUCUGCCUGCCGCAUCACGAAAACCAAGUGAAGACUAAGCAUGUAGAAAGCUCAUUGAUUCCACGUUUGGACGAGGGUUCAAGUCCCUCCAGCUCCACUU